Molecule: unclassified non-coding RNA, 198 nt
Filed under: soil metagenome
Description: partial contains 5.8S ribosomal RNA, internal transcribed spacer 2, and large subunit ribosomal RNA
Source: RNAcentral
AACGGUCUAUACCUGCGGUACCUGCGGAGGGAUCAUUAUCAAUUUACAGCGGACUUCGGUCCUGUCUGCACCCUUGUCUUUUGCGUACUAUAUGUUUCCUCGGUGGGCUUGCCUGCCGAUAGGACACUUAUAAACUCUUUUGUAAUUGCAAUCAGCGUCAGAAAACUAUAAUAGUUACAACUUUUAACAAGGAUCUCU